Molecule: ribosomal RNA, 253 nt
Filed under: uncultured bacterium
Lineage: Bacteria
Description: partial 16S ribosomal RNA
Rfam family: Bacterial small subunit ribosomal RNA
Source: RNAcentral
UACAUGGGGUGCAAACGUUGCUCGGAAUUAUUGGGCGUAAAGCGCGCGUAGGCGGUUACUUAAGUCGGAUGUGAAAGCCCUCGGCUUAACUGAGGAAGUGCACCCGAAACUGAGUAGCUAGAGUACGAAAGAGGGUCGCGGAAUUCCCGGUGUAGAGGUGAAAUUCGUAGAUAUCGGGAGGAACACCGGUGGCGAAGGCGGGUCUCUGGGCCGUAACUGACGCUGAGGAGCGAAAGCGUGGGGAGCGAACAGG